AUGUUGAUGACUGAGAGAGAAGGGAUAAACCAGAGUGUUUUACAGCAACCCAGCAGAACCAAAGGAUCUGCCAAUACUGGCGAAGUCCUUUCUCUGAACCAGACAACAGAAGCUGCUGUCCCAGUUCGUGGUUGCUCCUUCCCACUGGCAAACAGCUGGGGGGGAUCUGCUCUCAGGUUGUGCCUGCUGCAGGUUGGACGUGAAGAAGUGCACAUCCCUCUUUUUUUGCCUUCUUGCUGCAGACUCAUUCAACAAGGCCAUUCAGGACUGAAUUCAUUUCCAGGUCCAUCCUUUUUUGAAGAAACCAUCCCCAUGGAUGUCAGAAAUAUGAAUGAAUUCAGAUCUCCGUUUGGCAGCUGGAUGAGAAGGGAAUGCCACCGCAAAGGAGGGAUCGCUGAGGCGAGGCUGAAGUUGUAUUCAAAGGCAGCAGCAGUGCUGUGCAUUGCACAUGUCGUAGAAUCACCGCUGUGAUCAGUCAGCCCCUUCCCUGGAGGGACUCUGAGUUCUGACUGCAUUUGGGGAAGUCAAGACCUGAGCAGAUCCUUUUUUAUUUCUAUUCAUUCUCAGG
RNAcentral lists this long non-coding RNA (568 nucleotides) under Numida meleagris (helmeted guineafowl). RNAcentral's name for it is "lncRNA (ENSNMEG00000012218.1)". The record is from RNAcentral. Lineage: Eukaryota; Metazoa; Chordata; Aves; Galliformes; Numididae.